This 273-nucleotide long non-coding RNA is filed under the name Panax ginseng (ginseng). Its description in RNAcentral is "long non-coding RNA (PGIN_LNC002612)". Lineage: Eukaryota; Viridiplantae; Streptophyta; Magnoliopsida; Apiales; Araliaceae. The record is from RNAcentral.
AUAUGCGAAAGAGAAGUCAGAUAUGAGAUCCAAACCCUGAAUUGGGAUUAUGAUCAAGAGAUGAUAAUAAUAAUAUUAUAUUAUUAUUAUAAUGAUUUUACAGUACAAUAAUUAUGUACUGUGUAUGCGCGGACAGAUAAUAUUGAGCAAUGACGGUCAAUUAGGUCAUAGCAUAUUACCGUGCUGUGAAACCCUAAUUAUUAAACUUAGUUAUGAGAAAUGACUGAGUAGUGACUGUGUAUAUGAAGUUUACUGUGUAUAUGAAGGUUACUG